This 833-nucleotide ribosomal RNA is filed under the name Streptomyces sp. Its description in RNAcentral is "bacterial SSU rRNA". It matches the Rfam family "Bacterial small subunit ribosomal RNA", at positions 23 to 873 of the family's 1533-position model. The record is from RNAcentral. Lineage: Bacteria; Bacillati; Actinomycetota; Actinomycetes; Kitasatosporales; Streptomycetaceae.
CGCAGACGAACGCUGGCGGCGUGCUUAACACAUGCAAGUCGAACGAUGAAGCCCUUCGGGGUGGAUUAGUGGCGAACGGGUGAGUAACACGUGGGCAAUCUGCCCUUCACUCUGGGACAAGCCCUGGAAACGGGGUCUAAUACCGGAUAACACUCUGUCCCGCAUGGGACGGGGUUGAAAGCUCCGGCGGUGAAGGAUGAGCCCGCGGCCUAUCAGCUUGUUGGUGGGGUGAUGGCCUACCAAGGCGACGACGGGUAGCCGGCCUGAGAGGGCGACCGGCCACACUGGGACUGAGACACGGCCCAGACUCCUACGGGAGGCAGCAGUGGGGAAUAUUGCACAAUGGGCGAAAGCCUGAUGCAGCGACGCCGCGUGAGGGAUGACGGCCUUCGGGUUGUAAACCUCUUUCAGCAGGGAAGAAGCGAAAGUGACGGUACCUGCAGAAGAAGCGCCGGCUAACUACGUGCCAGCAGCCGCGGUAAUACGUAGGGCGCAAGCGUUGUCCGGAAUUAUUGGGCGUAAAGAGCUCGUAGGCGGCUUGUUGCGUCGGUUGUGAAAGCCCGGGGCUUAACCCCGGGUCUGCAGUCGAUACGGGCAGGCUAGAGUGUGGUAGGGGAGAUCGGAAUUCCUGGUGUAGCGGUGAAAUGCGCAGAUAUCAGGAGGAACACCGGUGGCGAAGGCGGAUCUCUGGGCCAUUACUGACGCUGAGGAGCGAAAGCGUGGGGAGCGAACAGGAUUAGAUACCCUGGUAGUCCACGCCGUAAACGUUGGGAACUAGGUGUUGGCGACAUUCCACGUCGUCGGUGCCGCAGCUAACGCAUUAAGUCCCCGCA